GACAGAGGGUGCAAGCGUUGUUCGGAAUCAUUGGGCGUAAAGCGCACGUAGGCGGUCUUGUGCGUCAGAUGUGAAAGCCCUGGGCUUAACCCAGGAAGUGCAUCUGAUACGGCAAGACUUGAGUCUCGGAGAGGAUGGUGGAAUUCCUGGUGUAGAGGUGAAAUUCGUAGAUAUCAGGAGGAACACCGGUGGCGAAGGCGACCAUCUGGACGAAGACUGACGCUGAGGUGCGAAAGCGUGGGGAGCAAACAGG
RNAcentral lists this ribosomal RNA (253 nucleotides) under uncultured prokaryote. Its description in RNAcentral is "partial 16S ribosomal RNA". It matches the Rfam family "Bacterial small subunit ribosomal RNA", at positions 524 to 776 of the family's 1533-position model. The record is from RNAcentral.